UACGUAGGUGGCAAGCGUUAUCCGGAUUUAUUGGGUGUAAAGGGCGUGUAGGCGGGAAAGCAAGUCAGAUGUGAAAACUCAGGGCUCAACCCUGAGCCUGCAUUUGAAACUGUUUUUCUUGAGUGCUGGAGAGGCAAUCGGAAUUCCGUGUGUAGCGGUGAAAUGCGUAGAUAUAUGGAAGAACACCAGUGGCGAAAGCGGCUCUCUGGUCUGUAACUGACGCUGAGGUUCGAAAGCGUGGGUAUCGAACAGG
RNAcentral lists this ribosomal RNA (253 nucleotides) under uncultured Oscillospira sp. Its description in RNAcentral is "partial 16S ribosomal RNA". It matches the Rfam family "Bacterial small subunit ribosomal RNA", at positions 524 to 776 of the family's 1533-position model. Lineage: Bacteria; Bacillati; Bacillota; Clostridia; Eubacteriales; Oscillospiraceae. The record is from RNAcentral.